Cryptomeria japonica (Japanese cedar) is the source of this 1216-nucleotide long non-coding RNA. RefSeq lists it as uncharacterized. The record is from RefSeq and is a predicted model, not a curated record. Lineage: Eukaryota; Viridiplantae; Streptophyta; Pinopsida; Cupressales; Cupressaceae. The transcript has 9 exons.
CCCAAAAGAAAAGCAAAGAAAGAGAUUUAAAUCCUAACAAGACAAAAUACACGAUUCAAAUUCAAGAAAAUAAAAACAUGCUUGAGACAUCUCCCAAAAAUUUUCAGCAUUGGAUGGUUCUGAAGAACUCUAGAGCACAUUGAUCUUUGCUAUUUUUUUCCCCAGGCUAUGAGCUGUAUAUCUUACCUUGGAUGCUUUCAAUUGAGGUUACUGCAUUUACAACCAGACAAUAUAUGUAUUAGAGAUUUUAGACAUUCUUAUGGAAAUUUGUAAUCUAGUUUCCUAUGGCCAAGGGAUCUUUCGCCAGACCAAUUUUCCUGGGUGUUUUAGUCACAACGCACCUGCAAUUUAUCUUAAUUGCAAACAGAGCAUUUACAUUUUAGAAAAUGUUUGAUGUGCAGAACAGGGCAAAGAUUCAUAGAGAAUUGAGUCAUUUUAGUCCCCAAUUCAACAUGGGCGAGGACCAAGAAAUAUAGAUAAUUCGGUCAAUUUAGCCUGCUAUUCCACGUGGAAUCCUGUUUGCAAUAUGGGUUUGAUAUACAGGGCAAAUAUACAUGGAGAAUUGAGUCAUUUCAGUCCCCAAUUCCACGUUUGAUCUGCAGAAGAGGGCCAAGAAAUAUAGAGAAUUCAGUCAAUUUAGCCUGCUAUUCAAUGUGGAAUCCUGUUUGCAAUACGGGUUUGAUCUACAGAAGAGAGCCAAGAUACAUGGAGAAUUUGGUCAUUUCAGUCUCCAAUUCCAUGUUUGAUUUGUUGCAGAGGACCAAGAGAUAUAAAGAAAUUGGUCAUUUUAGCCUGCUAUUCCACGUGGAUUUUAUAAUUCUGUUUGCAAUUUGGGUUUGAAUAUAUGGGUUCGCAAAAGAAGGCACGACAGGAUUAACAAAUAAAGAUUAGCAUCUGAUUCCAGGCUUGGUCUUACUUGAACCUUGCCUCAUCAACUUGGUACUCAACACUUAGCGCAUUGGAUCUUGUACUAACCCAAUUUCAACAUGUGAUCUUGUCUUGGCCUCAUAUAUUGGGUGUAUUGCACCAAGCAUGUUGGAUGCAAUAUUUACUCAAUUUUAACAUAUUACCAUGCCCCUUUGGGUUUGAACUUAGGGUUGGUGUAUGAAAACCCAUUUAUGUUUACCAUUUGAGCUCAUACUAUUUGAACUUAUUUCUGGCAAUUUUGUGUCAUUUCUGGGAAAUCUUAUUUGAGUUCUAACCUUCUCUUUUUUCC